UUUUCCUACGGGACGCAGCAGUGGGGAAUAUUGCACAAUGGGGGAAACCCUGAUGCAGCGACGCCGCGUGAGUGAAGAAAUAUCUCGGUAUGUAAAGCUCUAUCAGCAGGGAAGAAAAUGACGGUACCUGAGUAAGAAGCCCCGGCUAACUACGUGCCAGCAGCCGCGGUAAUACGUAGGGGGCAAGCGUUAUCCGGAUUUACUGGGUGUAAAGGGAGCGUAGACGGCAGUGCAAGUCUGGAGUGAAAGGCGGGGGCUCAACCCCCGGACUGCUCUGGAAACUGUACGGCUGGAGUGCAGGGGAG
This 305-nucleotide ribosomal RNA is filed under the name uncultured bacterium. RNAcentral describes it as "bacterial SSU rRNA". It matches the Rfam family "Bacterial small subunit ribosomal RNA", at positions 334 to 656 of the family's 1533-position model. The record is from RNAcentral.